RNAcentral lists this transfer RNA (75 nucleotides) under Candidatus Woesearchaeota archaeon. RNAcentral's name for it is "tRNA-Glu". It matches the Rfam family "tRNA". Rfam says of the family: Transfer RNA (tRNA) molecules are approximately 80 nucleotides in length. Their secondary structure includes four short double-helical elements and three loops (D, anti-codon, and T loops). The record is from RNAcentral. Lineage: Archaea; Nanobdellati; Candidatus Woesearchaeota. RNAcentral also lists the same sequence under 2 other names.
GCCCCUGUAGUGUAGUUCGGUCAAUCAUUCCAGAUUCUCAAUCUGGCGACCCGAGUUCAAAUCUCGGCAGGGGCG